UACCCCUACGGGGGGCAGCAGUGGGGGAUAUUGCACAAUGGGGGUAACCCUGAUGCAUCUACUCCUCUUUUUUUAAUAAUCUCCUCGGCGCGUAAAGCCCUGUCAGCAGGGAAGAAAAUGACGGUACCUGAAGAAGAAGCCCCGGCUAACUACGUGCCAGCAGCCGCGGUAAUACGUAGGGGGCAAGCGUUAUCCGGAUUUACUGGGUGUAAAGGGGGCGCAGACGGCGGUGCAAGCCAGGAGUGAAAGCCCGGGGCCCAACCCCGGGACGGCUCUUGGAACUGCGUGGCUGGAG
This 295-nucleotide ribosomal RNA is filed under the name uncultured bacterium. RNAcentral describes it as "partial 16S ribosomal RNA". It matches the Rfam family "Bacterial small subunit ribosomal RNA", at positions 334 to 646 of the family's 1533-position model. The record is from RNAcentral.